GGGGCCGUAGUCUAGCCAGGAAUGACGACAGAAAUGAAAUCCGCCAAGGGCUCCAGAUGUAUAAGGCGCUAUGGGUUUGCGGACCUAAUGGGAUGAAGAGCUUCAGGAGCGCGGAGGAAACCCGUAGGUCGAGGGUUCAAAUCCCUUCGGCCCCACCA
Molecule: transfer RNA, 158 nt
Filed under: Candidatus Bathyarchaeota archaeon
Lineage: Archaea; Thermoproteati; Candidatus Bathyarchaeota
Also listed under: 1 other name
Description: tRNA-OTHER
Rfam family: tRNA
About the family: Transfer RNA (tRNA) molecules are approximately 80 nucleotides in length. Their secondary structure includes four short double-helical elements and three loops (D, anti-codon, and T loops).
Source: RNAcentral